UCCAGAGGUCUCAAGCGUUGUUCGGAUUCAUUGGGCGUAAAGGGUGCGUAGGCGGCGCGGUAAGUCGGGUGUGAAAUCUCGGGGCUUAACUCCGAAACUGCAUUCGAUACUGCCGUGCUUGAGGACUGGAGAGGAGACUGGAAUUUACGGUGUAGCGGUGAAAUGCGUAGAUAUCGUAAGGCAGACCAGUGGCGAAGGCGGGUCUCUCGACAGUUCCUGACGCUGAGGCACGAAAGCGUGGGGAUCAAACAGG
RNAcentral lists this ribosomal RNA (253 nucleotides) under uncultured bacterium. RNAcentral describes it as "partial 16S ribosomal RNA". It matches the Rfam family "Bacterial small subunit ribosomal RNA", at positions 524 to 776 of the family's 1533-position model. The record is from RNAcentral.